Molecule: long non-coding RNA, 5523 nt
Filed under: Homo sapiens (human)
Lineage: Eukaryota; Metazoa; Chordata; Mammalia; Primates; Hominidae
Description: HSALNT0369706
Source: RNAcentral
CUUGUUUCAGAUGAGACUUUGGAUUUUGGACUUUGGGCUUAUUUCUCCCAGAAGUAAAACUCAGAUGACUAGGACAAGCUGUGGUGAGAGAAGCCAUUGGCUGCCAUCUAGACUGUGUUGAAAGCACACAGUCACUUGUUAAAGGCAGGAGGCAUUGUAGCAUAAAGGAAGAAUAUUAGACAUUGAAUUCAGAGAAAUAUUGGCUUUACCACUAAAAAACAAUGUGACUCUGGGUAAGUUUCAUAUAUUCUAUGGGUCUCAAUUCCUUCAUUAAAAAAAAAAAGAUAGUGGUCUUCGCAAAUUAUGGUGUCAAAGCUGUCUCUCUGCUGGUUCUUGCCAGCAACAAAUGACAAAAUGUAUGAAAAUUUUAAAUUCUGCAAGACAGAGCCAUGUCUUAUGCCUCUGAACAUAUUGCAUCCUCUCAUUCAUUUAAUAAAAAUUUAUUUGGUACCUAUUAUGUACUAAACAGUGCACUUGGUACUAGGAAUACAGUCAUGAACAAAUCAACUCUCCCUCUCCUUAUGGACUUGUGGUUUAGCAGAGGACACAGAAAUGUGGUAAAUCCAAAUGAUGACAUGGUUUUACAAACACUUGAAACAUCAGGGAGUUCUCCAUACAGUUACUAAAAUCAAGGAUGCAGAACAAAUUUGUUCCCAAGCUUUUGCUGGAGACCAGAAAAAUCAUACCAAUGAUGGUGUCUCCUCCCUCUCCCUGACUUUCGUGUUUAUACAUACUUCUUCCUCAAGUGCCUUAUGAAUAUUUUGUAAUCAAAUAAACAGAGGCAUGUUCUAGACAGAAUCUAGAUUCUCUCUCGUUACAAACGUGUUCCAAUUAUAAUUAUUUCAAAGUAUUUUAUGGUAAGAAAUCUCAUAUUUAAGAGUCAAUGUUUUAGAGUUUUUGGAGUUACUUUUGCAAUCCGAAGCUUUCUGAUUGGCUGACAUUAUCAUUGCUAUCUCUAUAAUUACAGGCAUGCAUCAUUUAAUGAUGGGGAUACAUUCUGAGAGAUGCCUUGUUAGGCAAUUUUAUUGUUAUAUGAAUAUCAUAGAGUGUUCUUUUACAAACCUAGAUGGUAUAGUCUACUACACACCUAGGCUAUAUGGUAUAGCUUAUUUCUCCUAGACUACAGACCUGCACAGCAUGUUACUGCGCUGAAUAUAGUGGGCAACUGUAACACAACAGUGAGUAUUUGUAUAUCUAAAAAUAGAAAAGGUACAGUAAAAAUGUGUUAUUAUAAUCUUAUGGGACCACUUUCAUAUAGGUUGUCCAUUGUUGACCGAAACGUUGUUAAUGUGGCACACGUCUGUAUUAUCAAAUAUUAUUUGAGUGUCUACUGUGGGUUAAGCACUGUACUAUGUACCUAGGAUAAUUCUGUAAUGAAGAAACAUAAUUUAAAUAGGGAAUCAAAACGUGUAUUUGAUUGGAAAGACGUAAUGCAGAGCAAGUCUAUAUCUGGUAAGGUAAGGCUGAAAACAACUAAAAUUACGAGAUAAAAUACAAAAUGCUUUCAUAAAAGCAUUGAAAAAUCUAACAUGACAUAAUAAGACAUUAUUUAAGAGCUAGAAUUUAGAGAGGUGAGCAGAUCAUUGCUUCGGCUUUCAGGACCUUUGCAAACUUAGAUUAAAUAAAUUAACUUAAAUUAGCUAUCAAAUAUAGCUGUGAGUUUGAAGGGUUCAUAGCCUGGAGGAAAACAGAAGUAAAAUUCAGCAUCUGUCAAAAGUUGCCAAAGUAGUAAUAAACAUGGUAGUUAUCCGAUCCCUUUCCUAGGGCACCAGAUUUGGGCACCACCACAUGUGAUGUGGGGCGGAUUGGCCAAUAGAAGCCAAGUGAAGUCAGACGCUCAAGAUGUAACUAAAGAGACAUACCUAUUUGCGGCCUACUUCCUAUUCUCCAAGUGCAUUUUAAUUCCCCUGACUGCAUGAUUUUGUUCAGCAUUUAUGAAUAUCAUCUGUCUAAUCUGGAGAAACACGUCUUAUAGUUGGCCACUCUCAUGGUUCUUGUUGCCUUCUGUUGUUUGGAGGAAUCUAAGGAUUUAUGGAAGUUAUGUUGGUAUAUCAGAAGCUUGUUGGUAUAUAUUUGAGUAGAAGGGCUUCAAUGAAGUCAACUUAUACCACUAAGUGGAUUGUUGAUUCUUCGAUGGAUGAGGCUGUAUAAGGGGAUCAACAUUAAUCAAUGUUGCUGACAGGCUGGACAUUCAGCAGCAACCUUGACAAGAGAAUGAAGGCCAAAUUGAGUUUCCUUGAGCAACUCAUUUAACGUUAAGAAUCAAGAUGGUGCCCAAGCUCAGAUGACAUCCUUUCUAACCCAUUUGGAAGGCUCCUCUCAUAGGAGGUGUGAAAGAAAAGAGAAUGGAAAGGAACAGGCUCUUCUCUUGAAGAAAAGCCCUCAGUCCAUACAGCCAGACUUUGUCUACAUAUGCCUUUCUAUGGGAUGCUGAGAGACCAAGGGCUUCUGACAUAGACAUGUGAGAAAUACUGGCUUUAAGUAUACUAUACUCAGUGUCAAAAGCUUUCAGGAUGCAAGAAAUUCCUGAAUUUGAGUCUCCAAAAUUUUAAACAAGGAAAGGAAGUAAAAAUUAUCUCUUUUUCGAUGUAUGGCCCUAUAGUUGGCCAAAAAUGAUUGCUUCUGUUGUUAGAUAUUCAUGUAUAUUUAAGAUUAAAGAAGGUGAUAUUGAUGUGCAAAUAUGAGAGUAAAUUGACAGACAGAUAACCUAAAAAAGUACAGUAAAAUAAAGUUAAGAGUUGUGAUGAAUACCUAAAGGUCCAUUGCCAGAUGAAUGUGAAGACGGAAUGUGAUUUAUAUAUAUAGUGGAAUAUUAUUCAAUUAAAAAGAAAAUGCUAACACUUGCUAAUAUAUAUAAACCUUCAAGACAUUAUGCUAAGUGAAAGAAGCCAGAUACCAAAGGACAAAUAUUGCACUGUUCCACAUAUAUGAAGUGAACAUCACAUAUUGCUGAAGUUCUCAUCAUCAGAAAGAGGCAGAGCUAAGAUUUAAAUCCAGACAUGCCUGGUUCUGAAUUCAGUUGUCUUCCUACACCCAGGAGCUUAUUACAUGCAUUGUGCUAGUCUUCCUGGAAAUCAGGCAAACUCAGUCCACUGCACCUCAUCUCCUUAUGUAAUAACCUGGAGAGCGGUGAGAGCCAUCUGCUUCAAGAGCGACAUAUUUGAGUCCAUAAGGUAAUAGGUUGGCAGAGAACAGAAGGAUUAUGGCAUUGCCAUUUGGCAUUCUUGACUUACUCUGCAUUUAUAAAAUCGAAAUACAUAGUCCAUCAUGUUCUCACAGAGCCUACCAUUAUCAGUCAUUCUGAAAUAAACAUGGUUAGGGACAUCAUAUUCAAAAUAAGUGAUCCUUGUUUUCGGGAAUGAUGUCUGGCAGGAGGAGUUUUUAAAUCCUGCUUUCUGAAGCACUAGCUUACAAAUGACUUUGUGAAGUGUAUUUUGAUUCUGGGGCCCAAGAAGGAGAAAAACAAGUAAGGGAGAAAAACAUAGGCUGGAUCUUAAGAUCACAAGAUAACAGAUGGAUUAAAGGGUAGAAGCCAGAGCAGAGGUUCCAAAACAAGAUUGAUCAUUCAAAUUCAUCUGAAGAACUUUAAAUAUAUGUAUUUACCUGAACCCAGCUUCAGGAAUGAGGCUCAGACAUCUGUGUAUUUAAAAUCUCCUGUGGUUAUUCUGAUAAUUAGCCUCAGUUUUGAGUCAUCUAACAAAGAAAAAGCAAAACAUAUGUCAAUCAGUUUAUCUUACUGUAAUUAAACUUCAGUGGGAAACAUGAGGUGACCCCAAAGAACUGGUUAAGUGUGGCUUAAGAAUUAGUUAAGCAAAUGUACCAAAAGACAAUUUUAAAAAACCAAAUAAAAAGAAAUUUUAGUUUAUUCUCAGGGGCUUUCACAGGAGUCUAUAAAAAUCUCAAAAACAUCCAGGAAGCUCCCAUCGAAUAAUUUGGCUACCUGAAGUGCUGAAUAAAAGGAGCUCUCCCAAAAGAAGCUGUGAAUUCUCUAUCAGGCCCAUGUCCACUCUUCUAGUCAUAGCCUUACUUCUUAAAGAAAGAGAGAAGCUCUAAUCCAAAUCCAAACAUAGGACAUAUGGCGAAGAUUAUUCUGAGAGACACAGUCCCAGAUUCUCCUCUGCUAUACAGGUGUGACAAAAAAGGAGCAAGAACAAAGACUCUAACAUAAUCCUUAGAUGUUUAUAAUAGAAAAAAGAAUGGAAAGAAAUAAACUUUAGCAUUUACACAGGUUGAGCUGACCUAAUCUGAAAAUCCAAAAUCCAAACUGCUAAAAAACUGAUUGAGUUCUGAAGCUUUGAGUGUCAAAAUGGCUCCACAAGUAGAAAGCUCCACAUCUGACCUCAUGUGAUAGGUCACGGUCAAAAUGCAAUCAAAAUUUUGCUUCAUGCCCAACAUUAUUUAAAAUAUUGUAUAAAAUUACCUUUGGCUAUAUAUUAAUAUGUAAGGUAUAUAUAAAACAUUAGUGAUUUUUGGUUUAGUCUUGGAUCCUAUCCCCAUAAUAUCUCAAUAUAUGUAUGCAAAUAUUCCAACCUCCCUGCGCCCAAAAAAUCCAAAAUCCUAAGCACUUCCAAAAUCUAACAGUAAAACAGGCUGAGUAUCCCAAGCAUUUUGGAUAACAGAUGUUCAACCUGUAUCACUUGGGGUCCAUUCAGGGGAACAAACCCCACGAGGUAUUUCAACAGAGAUAAUUUCAUAUAGGGAAUUUGUUAAUCAGAUGAUGGGGAACUGAAAAGGAAAAUGAGAACAUUAGAAGAGAUCAUUACAAAAAGCUGCUACCUCCCCUCAGGCUGGAGGAAUGAAAGGAAGCUGAGAUCAGGAAGCUCAUUGGGAAGCUGAUCAAAACUUACAAGGUUCAUAGAGGGGCCCAAAGAUUUAGGACUCAGAAUUCCAAGGAGGGUGUUACCUACCUCCAAGGAGGCUGCUACUGAAAUCUCAGGAGCUUGGAGGGAGGGUCUCACACAAUGGGGGCCUAACCUCUGAAGUGAGGAGCUACCAGCUAGUGCUGGUACCUCAGAAGUUGGGAAGAGGUCCUGUGAUGUUGAGAUGCAGACACAUAAUGAGUGGGCUCUGCAGCUGGUGGUCGUGAAGGGGCACAAUGACUCUGUUAGUGGGAAUGGCCCGAUGAUCUGAAAGCUGUAAUUAACAGCUGCUGCCAGGGUAAAAGGCCAAAGUGGGGUGAUCUGAUGGGAAAAAAUAAACAAGCAGAAAUGAACAAGUUCCUUCUCCCCUUCUCCUGCCAUUUACUCUUCCCCUAGUUCUUCCUAUUGAUGGAAAUUAAUAGUAAGCCUUCUGACAAAGGAGACAUGUUGUCUUCAGAACCAUCAUCACAAAGUAGAGGCUAGGAAAGUAGAUGUGGAACCUAAUACCGGGUGAAUCAUUCAUCGCACAGUUUCAAAGGUGGCAACAGAAUUAGCCAAAAGCAAGUAUAGGAUGAAAAUAACAAAGGGAAGGGCAGAAAUAAAAUAAGACAUAAACAUUUGAUAGAGAGGACCAACAAAACAAAAUUUUAAUUCAGUGGGAAAA